AUUGAACGCUGGCGGCAGGCCUAACACAUGCAAGUCGAACGGUAGCACAGAGAGCUUGCUCUCGGGUGACGAGUGGCGGACGGGUGAGUAAUGUCUGGGAAACUGCCCGAUGGAGGGGGAUAACUACUGGAAACGGUAGCUAAUACCGCAUAACGUCUUCGGACCAAAGUGGGGGACCUUCGGGCCUCACACCAUCGGAUGUGCCCAGAUGGGAUUAGCUAGUAGGUGGGGUAAUGGCUCACCUAGGCGACGAUCCCUAGCUGGUCUGAGAGGAUAACCAGCCACACUGAAACUGAGACACGGGCCAGGCUCCUACGGGAGGCAGCAGUGGGGAAUAUUGCACAAUGGGCGCAAGCCUGAUGCAGCCAUGCCGCGUGUAUGAAGAAGGCCUUCGGGUUGUAAAGUACUUUCAGCGGGGAGGAAGGCGUUAAGGUUAAUAACCUUGGCGAUUGACGUUACCCGCAGAAGAAGCACCGGCUAACUCCGUGCCAGCCGCCGCGGUAA
Molecule: ribosomal RNA, 504 nt
Filed under: uncultured bacterium
Lineage: Bacteria
Description: partial 16S ribosomal RNA
Rfam family: Bacterial small subunit ribosomal RNA
Source: RNAcentral